UAGCAUGUCAGAUUGUAUGAGUUAAAUUUAAGUUUUAAUUAUUAGGCUAC
RNAcentral lists this transfer RNA (50 nucleotides) under Pallisentis celatus. Its description in RNAcentral is "tRNA-Leu". The record is from RNAcentral. Lineage: Eukaryota; Metazoa; Acanthocephala; Eoacanthocephala; Gyracanthocephala; Quadrigyridae.